This is a non-coding RNA of Camelina sativa (false flax), 1080 nucleotides long. Lineage: Eukaryota; Viridiplantae; Streptophyta; Magnoliopsida; Brassicales; Brassicaceae. The record is from RefSeq and is a predicted model, not a curated record.
CUGUCUAAAAACAAGUGGACGGAGAAAGACAGUUUAGCCGGUGGGUCGGCCAUCGAACUCUUGACAUAUAACAUCGCAACAAUAUCAACCAACCAUAGCUUGCCACGUAGCAAAUCUUGGCGUGAAAAAUCUGUCGUCCGUAAGCUUUACACACGGGCUUUACAUAAAUCAAACCGCGUUUAAUCCAAAACCAUUCAUUUGUGUUUUUAUGGAUGUUUAUAAACUCGUAAUAUAUUUUUCUUAUUGAAUUAUCUAUUACUUCUUCUCUCAAAUGGGUUGUUUGAUUUCUCCUGUGAUGAAACUCCGUCGUCUCUCCUCAGCAAACUCGAGGCGGUUUGCAUACCGGAAUCUCACCGAGAAUAUGGAAGAUCCGGUCAUAAGGGUGGUGGUAGGGAAGGAGAAGAAAGAGUUCAUGGUCGAACCGUACGUACUCGAAGAAUACCCGUUUAGAGUCUUGAUAGGUUCGGUUAAGGAUCGUGCCAAGGACCGUUUAAACAGGACUGGUAGAGUGGUGUGGCUUGAUCAUGUCGACUCGAUCUUGUUUGAGCACUUGUUGUGGCUUCUUCGGAACGAUGCCUCUACGUUUUCGGAUUUGGAUGUUGUCGAGAUCAUUGAUUUCUAUUCUCAAGAUUGUUAGUUUUGGGUUUGUAGAUGGCUGAAGCUGGGUCAAUGAGAGUCCGCGUGUAAGAGCUGCUAGUCUUCUUUGAUUUGUCUCAGGUCGAUUCACAAGGUUUUCUUUGCUUCUAGUUUGGAUCGCCCUCCAUAGGGUUAUGGUUUGGUAUGGUGGUUGUGGUUUCUGUUUCUCUAUGAUGGUAUGAAUUCUGCUUUUGUUCCUGCCGGUUUGAUGAUGGUUUUACUACGGUAUGCUCUCUUAGUGCUUCUGGUCUUCUGGGUACUCUCCAGCGCUUACAGGAUUUUUGGGAAGCUUAGUGGAAUUCGUUCAGUUUCAAUUGGGCAAUUUUAGAUCUUUGAUCCUUCUAUCAUUCUCUUUGUAAACUUUUUCUAUAGGUCUUGGCUUUUGUCUUUGUUAUUCUAUUAAUCAUAGUUUCCGGAGGUGUGUUACAUGCCGGCUCAAGCUUU